Molecule: unclassified non-coding RNA, 186 nt
Filed under: uncultured Cortinarius
Lineage: Eukaryota; Fungi; Basidiomycota; Agaricomycetes; Agaricales; Cortinariaceae
Description: sequence contains ITS2
Source: RNAcentral
AUAUAUAUAUCAAACUUCUCUUGUUGAUUGGUUUGGAUGUGGGGGUUUGCUGGCCUUUUUAAAAAGUUCAGCUCCUCUGAAAUGCAUUAGCAGAACAAACCUGUUCAUUGGUGUGAUAACUAUCUACGCUAUUGAAUGUGAGGGACAGUUCAGCUUUCUAACAGUCCUUGGACAAUUCAAUCAUUA